GACGAACGCUGGCGGCGUGCUUAACACAUGCAAGUCGAACGGAAAGGCCCUGCUUUUGUGGGGUGCUCGAUUGGCGAACGGGUGAGUAACACGCGAGUAACCUGUCCUUGACUUUGGGAUAACUUCUGGAAACUGGGGCUAAUACCGGAUAGGAGCUCCUGCUGCAUGGUGGGGGUUGGAAAGUUUCGGCGGUUGGGGAUGGACUCGCGGCUUAUCAGCUUGUUGGUGAGGUAGUGGCAUACCAAGGGUUUGACGGGUAGCCGGCCUGAGAGCGUGACCGGGCACAAGGGGACUGAGAGACGGCCCAGACGCCAACGGGAGGCAACAGUGGAGAAUAUUACACAAUGGGCGGGAGCCUGAGACAACGACGCCGCGUGCGGGAUGACCGCCUUCGGGUUAUAAACCACUUUCGCCUGUGACGAAGCGUGAGUGACGGUAAUGAGUAAAAAAGCCCCGGCUAACUACGUG
Molecule: ribosomal RNA, 468 nt
Filed under: uncultured bacterium
Lineage: Bacteria
Description: partial 16S ribosomal RNA
Rfam family: Bacterial small subunit ribosomal RNA
Source: RNAcentral